GCCUUCGUGGUGUAGUGGUCAGCAUGCUCGACGUGUAACCAAGAGGUCCGUGGUUCGAUUCCCGGCGAAGGCG
Molecule: transfer RNA, 73 nt
Filed under: Stegodyphus mimosarum
Lineage: Eukaryota; Metazoa; Arthropoda; Arachnida; Araneae; Eresidae
Rfam family: tRNA
About the family: Transfer RNA (tRNA) molecules are approximately 80 nucleotides in length. Their secondary structure includes four short double-helical elements and three loops (D, anti-codon, and T loops).
Source: Rfam by way of RNAcentral